RNAcentral lists this ribosomal RNA (2616 nucleotides) under Deltaproteobacteria bacterium. RNAcentral's name for it is "partial 23S ribosomal RNA". It matches the Rfam family "Bacterial large subunit ribosomal RNA", at positions 1 to 2571 of the family's 2925-position model. The record is from RNAcentral. Lineage: Bacteria; Pseudomonadati; Myxococcota; Myxococcia.
AUGGUCAAGCUAUUAAGGGCUUACGGUGAAUGCCUUGGCGUCAGGAGGCGAUGAAGGACGUAGUAAGCUGCGAUAAGCCUCGGGGAGCCGCAAACAGGCCUUGAUCCGGGGAUUUCCGAAUGGGGAAACCUGGCCAGGUAAACCCUGGUCAUCUGCCACUGAAUACAUAGGUGGUAGAGGCGAACGAGGGGAAGUGAAACAUCUCAGUACCCUCAGGAAGAGAAAUCAAACGAGAUUCCCUCAGUAGCGGCGAGCGAACGGGGAAGAGCCUAAACCUUGCGGGAGUGAUCCGGCAAGGGGUUGCGGGACCUCAAUGUGGGAUGAGGCGAGAUAGUGGAAAGAUCUGGAAAGAUCUGCCAUAGAAGGUGAUAGCCCCGUACACGAAAUCUCAAGACACUCUAGAGGUAUCCCAAGUACCACGGGACACGAGAAAUCCUGUGGGAAUCCGGGUGGACCAUCAUCCAAGGCUAAAUACUACCUGACGACCGAUAGUGAACUAGUACCGUGAGGGAAAGGUGAAAAGAACCCCGAGAGGGGAGUGAAAUAGAACCUGAAACCGUGAGCCUACAAUCAGUGGAAGCCCUAUGACGUCUUCGGACGUAAAGGGUGACUGCGUGCCUUUUGCAUAAUGAGUCAGCGAGUUACUGUGUGUGGCAAGGUUAAGCCGUUAGGUGAAGCCGUAGCGAAAGCGAGUCUUAAAAGGGCGAUUUAGUCGCACGUAGUAGACCCGAAGCCAGUCGAUCUACCCAUGGCCAGGGUGAAGAGUCGGUAACACGACUUGGAGGCCCGAACCGUUGUAAGUUGCAAAUUGCUCGGAUGAGCUGUGGGUAGGAGUGAAAGGCUAAUCAAGACUGGUGAUAGCUGGUUCUCCCCGAAAUAUAUUUAGGUAUAGCCUUGUGAAUUAAGUGCCGGGGGUAGAGCACUGAAUGGGCUAGGGCCCCUCGCGGGGUACCAAACCCAAUCAAACUUCGAAUACCGGCAACUCUUAUCACAGGAGUCAGACUGUGGGGGAUAAGCUCCAUAGUCGAGAGGGAAACAGCCCAGACCACCAGCUAAGGUCCCUAAAUACAGACUAAGUGGGAAAGGAUGUGGAACUACUUAGACAUCCAGGAGGUUGGCUUAGAAGCAGCCAUCCUUUAAAGAAAGCGUAACAGCUCACUGGCCUAGUGGGGCUGCGCCGAAAAUUUAACGGGGCUCAAGUCUGUUACCGAAGCUGUGGAUUGGCAGGGUACUUGUAUCCUGUUGAUGGUAGGGGAGCUUUCCAGCAACCUGUGAAGGUGGAUCGGAAGGACCACUGGAGGAACUGGAAGUGAUCAUGCUGACAUAAGUAGCGUAAAUGCGGGUGCAAAACCCGCACGCCGAAAACCUAAGGUUUCCUGGGUAAAGCUAAUCUUCCCAGGGUUAGUCGGGUCCUAAGCCGAGGCCGAGAGGCGUAGGUGAUGGAAAACAGGUUAAUAUUCCUGUACCACCUUAUGAGUGUUUGAGCGAAGGGGGGACGAAGAAGGGCAGGCCAUCCGGGUGACGGAUAUCCCGGUUCAAGCCUUUAGGCGGGAGAGGUAGGAAAAUCCGCUUCUCUAUUCAACGCUGAGGGGUUAUGAGGAGGAAAGCCGCAAGGCGGACCGAACUGGUUGAUCCCAUGCUUCCAAGAAAAGCCUCGUAGUGAGCUCGUAGGGUGCUCGUACCGCAAACCGACUCUGGUAGGUAGGUAGAGAAUACUAAGGCGUUUGAGAGAACCCUGGUUAAGGAACUCUGCAAAUUGGCCCCGUAACUUUGGGAUAAGGGGUGCCUCAUUAGGGUCUUAAGCCCGAAGAGGCCGCAGUGAAAUGGGGGAAGCGACUGUUUAGCAAAAACACAGGACUCUGCUAACUCGUAAGAGGAUGUAUAGGGUCUGACUCCUGCCCGGUGCCGGAAGGUUAAGGGGAAGUGUCAUCGGUCUUCGGACUGAGAAGCAGCCAACCGAAGCCCCGGUAAACGGCGGCCGUAACUAUAACGGUCCUAAGGUAGCGAAAUUCCUUGUCGGGUAAGUUCCGACCUGCACGAAUGGAGUAACGAUUUCCCCGCUGUCUCAACCAGGGACUCAGCGAACUUGAAAGGCCAGUGAAGAUGCUGGCUACCCGCGACAAGACGGAAAGACCCCGUGCACCUUUACUAUAACCUGGUAUUGGGUAUUGGACUAAUUUGUGUAGGAUAGGUGGGAGGCUUUGAAACCUGGGCGCUAGUUCAGGUGGAGCCAUCCUUGAAAUACCACCCUGAUUAUUCUGAUGCUCUAACCUUGGCCCGUAAUCCGGGCUAGGGACAGUGCCAGGCGGGUAGUUUGACUGGGGCGGUCGCCUCCCAAAUUGUAACGGAGGCGCGCGAAGGUUCCCUCAGGCUGAUUGGAAACCAGCUGUCGAGUGUAAAGGCAUAAGGGAGCUUAACUGCAAGACCCACAAGUCGAGCAGGUACGAAAGUAGGUCUUAGUGAUCCGGUGGUCCCGUAUGGAAGGGCCAUCGCUCAACGGAUAAAAGGUACGCCGGGGAUAACAGGCUGAUCGCGCCCAAGAGUUCAUAUCGACGGCGCGGUUUGGCACCUCGAUGUCGGCUCAUCACAUCCUGGGGCUGGAGCAGGUCCCAAGGG